Molecule: long non-coding RNA, 1584 nt
Organism: Toxorhynchites rutilus septentrionalis
Lineage: Eukaryota; Metazoa; Arthropoda; Insecta; Diptera; Culicidae
Exons: 2
Source: RefSeq, a predicted model, not a curated record
CGAAAAUUUGAUUGUACGAAUAGAAACAAACAAUUUUGUUCGAUAGAAGCUGACGAAUACGAACGAAGCAAGGGGGAAGCAAUGUAACCACACCAAUACAACUCAAUGUGGUUGUUUAGCUUCACUAUUGCAUACAAUUCGUACGACCACUUUUCAGCAUCCAGUGUCACCGCCGCCUAAGGGACCCUUAAGGCUGAUUUAGACGAUGCCAGUCAGCGCUCUAGUUGAAGUAUCCAGUGAAUAGAGAACAGACACUCUGUUCAAGUUAGAGGCCAAUUACUUGUUCGAUACUGGUACAAGUAACUUGGACAGAGAUUGCAACCUCCAAAAACGAAUAAGCUUAGUUCACUCAAAGAUAUUGACGUGGGAGCAAAAUUCGACAUUGGCGAAUUUCGUUCGGUACGUACAUAGCAAAAGUGAAAUGUCAUAAGGUAUCAAAACAUUUCACCGUGAAAAUGGACGGGACGUAACGUCGGCGAAAACAGUUUUGUUGGUGAAGCUGGACUUCAUAUAACAGCAAUCAGUGACAAAUUCUUUGCACAGUUAUCACUAUAAAGAACAACCUAUACCUGGAAACAAGAAAAAGCACUAAUCUUGGAAUAUUCUCGUUGGUGGGAGCCUGUGGAAACGCCUGUGGAAUAUAUUUAUUCAUGGAGUGACAGUUCUUGUGCUUUCCAACAUUCUUGAAUUCAAACAGAUAAAGGACAAAUCGGACGACACAGUAUAUAUACGUGUUGGAUUUGAUCGAAACUGUGUUUUCAAACUCCGAGUUAGUUCCAGGAUGUUAGUGUUAGGCUUUCGUUUUUCAAAAGGAUCAAACUACAACAAAAUUUCAAAGAUUCAAAGGAACUAGCUACCUUCAGCAAUAAUCAUCUUAUCAUUCGAUUUCCUUGAAUGACUAACGAGUUAUCUCAAAGAGUUGAAAGAUAAGAAUGUAAGAACUGAUUUACGUGUAUGGAACAUGCUCUAAAGUUUAAUUUUUGCGGUUGCAGGCAAAUAUCGUCCGGUGUUAGUAAUGGAACUUCAUUGAAAUGUGUUAUUAAAGAACUUUGUAUCGAUUUUCCAGAACAGUUUCAUCGGUAUCAGUAAAUAAAAUGCAUUGCACGAAGAUUAUGGGAAGUAGUAUUCAUAACAAUGCUAUUGCAGAUUUUCGGCGUAAAGGAAUAAUAUUUGAAUUCACAUCUAUAGAGCAAUUUUAUUAAAGUGUAUUGUAUCAUUGAACGCUUAUCAUUGGAGUUCAUGCAUGAAAAUUAGGCUUUAUUUAUUUUCUAGCAACAUCGUUGUAUCCAGAAAUCAAAUCUGUUAAGUUUCGCCGCUACUGCGAAAUUAUAAAAACACAUAAAAGAAAUCCAGGAUUCAGGCUAUCCAGCAGUUAAUAUUUUUCCGAACGGUAUAAAAACAAAUGAAGUCAGAGUCACGUAAAUGUUUACUCCUGCGAUUUGAAAAUAUUCGAUGAAAAGUGGAACGAAGAGAUGCUAGAUGGUUUUUAAAAAAAAAGACGGGUGGGUAAUGUCGGGGACAUAACCGGAGUGACGUAGGACUAUACAAAGGGAACAGCUUUUGUUAAAUAUAUAUUUAAAUAUA